Molecule: transfer RNA, 60 nt
Filed under: Mesocricetus auratus (golden hamster)
Lineage: Eukaryota; Metazoa; Chordata; Mammalia; Rodentia; Cricetidae
Rfam family: tRNA
About the family: Transfer RNA (tRNA) molecules are approximately 80 nucleotides in length. Their secondary structure includes four short double-helical elements and three loops (D, anti-codon, and T loops).
Source: Rfam by way of RNAcentral
UGUAGCUCAGUGGUAGAGCAACUGCCUAACAUGCAUGAGACUCUGGGUUCCAUCCCAGCA